AUUGAACGCUGGCGGCAGGCUUAACACAUGCAAGUCGAGCGAGCGGCGGACGGGUGAGUAAUGUCUGGGAAACUGCCUGAUGGAGGGGGUUAACUACUGAAAACGGUAGCUAAUCCCGCAUACCAUCAGAUGUGCCUAGAGGGGAUUAGCUAGUAGGUGGGGUAAUGGCUCACCUAGGCGACGAUCCCUCGCUGGCCUGAGAGGAUGACCAGCAACACGGGACCUGGAACACGGUCCAGACUCCUACGGGAGGCAGAAGUGGGGAAUAUUGCAAAUGGGGCGAAAGCCUGAUGCAGCCAUGCGGCGGGGGUGAAGAAGGCCUUCGGGUGGUAAAGCACUUUCAGCGAGGAGGCGUUACUCGCAGAAGAAGCACCGGCUAACUACGUGCCAGCAGCCGCGGUAAUAC
RNAcentral lists this ribosomal RNA (406 nucleotides) under uncultured bacterium. Its description in RNAcentral is "partial 16S ribosomal RNA". It matches the Rfam family "Bacterial small subunit ribosomal RNA", at positions 29 to 526 of the family's 1533-position model. The record is from RNAcentral.